CUACGUGCCAGCAGCCGCGGUAAUACGUAGGGCGCAAGCGUUGUCCGGAAUUAUUGGGCGUAAAGAGCUCGUAGGCGGCUGGUCGCGUCUGUCGUGAAAACUUCCGGCUCAACCGGGGGCUUGCGGUGGGUACGGGCCGGCUAGAGUGCGGUAGGGGUAACUGGAACUCCUGGUGUAGCGGUGGAAUGCGCAGAUAUCAGGAAGAACACCGAUGGCGAAGGCAGGUUACUGGGCCGUUACUGACGCUGAGGAGCGAAAGCGUGGGGAGCGAACAGGAUUAGAUACCCUGGUAGUCCACGCCGUAAACGAUGGGUACUAGGUGUAGGAGGUAUCGACCCCUUCUGUGCCGGAGUUAACGCAAUAAGUACCCCGCCUGGGGAGUACGACCGCAAGGUUGAAACUCAAAGGAAUUGACGGGGGCCCGCACAAGCGGUGGAGUAUGUGGUUUAAUUCGACGCAACGCGAAGAACCUUACCAGGUCUUGACAU
RNAcentral lists this ribosomal RNA (488 nucleotides) under uncultured bacterium. RNAcentral describes it as "bacterial SSU rRNA". It matches the Rfam family "Bacterial small subunit ribosomal RNA", at positions 501 to 987 of the family's 1533-position model. The record is from RNAcentral.